UUUGGUUGACUUUGAUAAGGCUCCUUAUAAAAGGGCACGACCGAUAAACCAAAGUGUCUGGAUUAUUACAGAAAAUAAAAUUCAGGCCUUGCCCACGAGAUACUUGAUAGUCUUCCAGCUUUUAUUUUAUCUGUCCACUUUGAUCAACUUUGAUCAGCAUCAGCAUGAUUUCAAAGUCUUUGUCAAGAAACAGACGCUGGCGUUGGAUGAGGCAUGGGAAAGAUGAAGAGAGUUGGCUGAGAAGGACGUGGUCCCCAGCCCUGUUCUUGAGGCUGGGUCUUUAGGGGGCCAGGAGGUGCGGAGCUGAACGCUUCCCGCCUGAGGCUUCAUCCGCCCGCAAGUGCAUCAGGACUCUGCUUGCAAAGCGACGAUCAUUUCCUGGGUUAUCAGUCUGGAAG
Molecule: long non-coding RNA, 398 nt
Filed under: Homo sapiens (human)
Lineage: Eukaryota; Metazoa; Chordata; Mammalia; Primates; Hominidae
Description: HSALNT0404346
Source: RNAcentral